Pongo abelii (Sumatran orangutan) is the source of this 117-nucleotide unclassified non-coding RNA. It matches the Rfam family "Metazoan signal recognition particle RNA". Rfam says of the family: The signal recognition particle (SRP) is a universally conserved ribonucleoprotein. Lineage: Eukaryota; Metazoa; Chordata; Mammalia; Primates; Hominidae. The record is from Ensembl.
GCCGGGCGCGGUGGCUCACGCCUGUAAUCCCAGCACUUUGGGAGGCAGAGGUGGGUGGAUCACCUGAGGUCAGGAGUUCGAGACCAGCCUGACCAACAUGGUGAAACCCUGUCUCUA